Molecule: ribosomal RNA, 433 nt
Filed under: uncultured bacterium
Lineage: Bacteria
Description: partial 16S ribosomal RNA
Rfam family: Bacterial small subunit ribosomal RNA
Source: RNAcentral
AACGAACGCUGGCGGCAUGCCUAACACAUGCAAGUCGAACGAAGGCUUCGGCCUUAGUGGCGCACGGGUGCGUAACGCGUGGGAAUCUGCCCUUUGGUUCGGAAUAACAGCUGGAAACGGCUGCUAAUACCGGAUGAUGACGAAAGUCCAAAGAUUUAUCGCCAGAGGAUGAGCCCGCGUUGGAUUAGGUAGUUGGUGGGGUAAAGGCCUACCAAGCCGACGAUCCAUAGCUGGUCUGAGAGGAUGAUCAGCCACACUGGGACUGAGACACGGCCCAGACUCCUACGGGAGGCAGCAGUGGGGAAUAUUGGACAAUGGGCGCAAGCCUGAUCCAGCAAUGCCGCGUGAGUGAUGAAGGCCCUAGGGUUGUAAAGCUCUUUUACCCGGGAAGAUAAUGACUGCACCGGGAGAAUAAGCCCCGGCUAGCUCCGUG